GGCAUGCGUUGUAUUAGCUGGUUGGUAAGGUACCGGCUUACCAAGGCGACGAUACAUAGGGGGACUGAGAGGUUAACCCCCCACAUUGGUACUGAGACACGGACCAAACUCCUACGGGAGGCAGCAGUGAGGAAUAUUGGUCAAUGGACGGAAGUCUGAACCAGCCAUGCCGCGUGCAGGAAGACGGCUCUAUGAGUUGUAAACUGCUUUUGUACAAGGGUAAACCUGAAUACGUGUAUUCAGCUGAAAGUACUGUACGAAUAAGGAUCGGCUAACUCCGUGCCAGCAGCCGCGGUAAUACGGAGGAUCCAGGCGUUAUCCGGAUUUAUUGGGUUUAAAGGGUGCGUAGGCGGAUUGAUAAGUUAGAGGUGAAAUGUCCGAGCUCAACUCGGGAACUGCCUCUAAUACUGUUGAUCUAGAGAGUAGAUGCGGUAGGCGGAAUGUAUGGUGUAGCGGUGAAAUGCUUAGAGAUCAUACAGAACACCGAUUGCGAAGGCAGCUUACCAAUCUAUAUCUGACGUUGAGGCACGAAAGCGUGGGGAGCAAACAGGAUUAGAUACCCUGGUAGUCCACGCAGUAAACGAAGAGAGCUCGUUGUCGGCG
This 603-nucleotide ribosomal RNA is filed under the name uncultured bacterium. RNAcentral's name for it is "bacterial SSU rRNA". It matches the Rfam family "Bacterial small subunit ribosomal RNA", at positions 228 to 828 of the family's 1533-position model. The record is from RNAcentral.